This 107-nucleotide small nuclear RNA is filed under the name Echinops telfairi (small Madagascar hedgehog). Lineage: Eukaryota; Metazoa; Chordata; Mammalia; Afrosoricida; Tenrecidae. The record is from RNAcentral.
GUGCUUGCUUCAGCAGCACAUAUACUAAAAUUGGAACGAUACAGAGCAGAUUAGCAUGGCCCCUGCACAAGGAUGACACGCAAAUUCGUGAAGCAUUCCACACUUUG